UGACCAAUCACGCAAGUGGUAUUGGGGCUUGCCGUACGGCAUCCCUUAAACGCAGUGGCAGUGCUAUAGGCUCUCAGCGCAGUAAUUAUUUCGCUCUCGAGUCCUAGACCCACCCGCCAAAACCUCAACUUUCUUAGG
This 138-nucleotide unclassified non-coding RNA is filed under the name uncultured Arachnopeziza. RNAcentral describes it as "sequence contains ITS2". The record is from RNAcentral. Lineage: Eukaryota; Fungi; Ascomycota; Leotiomycetes; Helotiales; Hyaloscyphaceae.